UUAUUGUAAAUCCAGCUACUAGCGAUUCAUCAAUCACCGUUUUAAUCCUCACGUUUUUCGAACCUGUCAAUCGCUGUACACCUUUCGCGAUCUGAGCCAAAUGCUGCGAUUCCAAUUUCACAACAGAAGUGACCACAGCAAGUUCCGUGUCCGUAAGCGUAUUGUACACUUUCUCGAACUCCUUUACAAUUUCUUUGAUUAGCUCCACGCGCUUCAUGUCUACUAAAAUGUUCAGGAAAUUCGCCACGUGCGGCUGGAUGCUCGACGAUGAAACGAUCUCGUCCACGAGUUCGCGUUUCUUCUCUUCGCCGACAAUAGGGCUCACGAAGAAGUUGAACACUGCUUCGUCGUCGAAGAUUUUUUCGAUUUUUUCGAGGUCGGCGGUGGUUUGUUCUAGGGUUCCGUUCGACUUGGCUAUGUCGGCGAGUGCGUUCGCGUAACUUCCGGCAGCGGAAGCCACCAUUUUUGCUCCGGCAGCACCACCGCCUCGGCGGGAGGUGCGAUUAGAGCGGAGCUUGAUGGUUAGUUUCGGGAGCUUGAGGCCGCCGGAAAAGGAGAGCUUUGCCGUCGGUCCGCUGAUGAUUUGAGUCGGCGGCGGUGACCUGGACUGGAAAGUUAUCGGAGUUUGUUGUAGUGCCGCCAUUAAUCUCGUUUAUGCGCUAGAAGAGAGAGAGAGAGGAGAGUACUGAAUUUGAGAGUGAGAAAAUGAGAAAAGGGAUUAUGGAGGGGAAUGGACGGUGGAGAUUAUGGGGGAAGUAGAAUCUACGGUGAUGAAGGGAUAAGAUUAUCAUAUAUUACCGGUGAAGGAUGGCCUCUUAUCUGAUGGUCUAUGGGGAUAAGGAGUUGAAACGUGUACUUCACAUUUGAUAGCAUUGCUUUCUUUUUGAGCUAAAUGGAAGGACUAAUUUGUGAAAUUUUAGAGU
This 923-nucleotide long non-coding RNA is filed under the name Nicotiana tabacum (common tobacco). RNAcentral's name for it is "long non-coding RNA (NTAB_LNC010641)". The record is from RNAcentral. Lineage: Eukaryota; Viridiplantae; Streptophyta; Magnoliopsida; Solanales; Solanaceae.